This is a long non-coding RNA of Manis pentadactyla (Chinese pangolin), 914 nucleotides long. RefSeq lists it as uncharacterized. The record is from RefSeq and is a predicted model, not a curated record. The transcript is spliced from 3 exons. NCBI's taxonomy places the organism in Eukaryota, Metazoa, Chordata, Mammalia, Pholidota, Manidae.
CCCGAUACCUGUGGUGUUACCUGCACAUUCAGAUCCUCAUCGCCUGGUGUUGCGCACGGCUUGAGGUGUGGACCCGUUUCCACUCUGUCCCACGGCUCUCGCUGACUGCUCCGGGCUCCUUCCGCCUGCGCCCGUCUGGGACACCGGUCGCAUGAACACGAGAACCUUGAUGUCUGCGCCCUUUCCCGUGAGUCUGAACGGACCUGUACAGAUGCCUUGACCAGCAGAGCCUCAAGGAAGUGGCGCUCUGUGGUUCUGGAGGCUGGAUCAUCGCAAGUCCUGCACCCUGCCUGGGGUGCUCGCCCUGGGAGCCCAGCCCCUGGCCACGAAGAGGCCCAGAUCAGCCCAGGUGAGGAGACCAUGGAGUGGGCACUCCUGUGCACAGCCUGGUUGGAGCCCCCGUCUGCAGCCAGCAUGCGUUACCUCACAUGGUGUGAGGACACCACAGGUGUUUCCUGCCCAGCUGUCAGUGUCCCCAGCCUUGAGUUCCCACUGGGGAGCAGAGACAAACCAUCCAAAUGGCGCCUCCCAAACUCCCAGCCUACAGAAACCUUGAGUAUAACGAAAAGUGCCGAGGAACAGAUGGGAGUGUGACUAAUGCUGCACAAAUGACCUGCUGUUUCCCCUCCCCUGAGAACAGUGGCCUUCAAGGAGCAGACGUACUGUGACAGGGACAGUUGAGCGGGGAGCUGCCCUGGGAGGGGGUGCCGUCCAGGCUGCUGCCCUGCAGGGGGCUGGCACAGAUGCACUGCCCACCCCAAUCCAGAUCCUUCCCACCCACCUGCAAGACAACUUGGGCCCCGUAAAGGCCAGUGCAGCUGACAGUUUCAGGACGCCUUCCAGGCUUAACACAGCCCCUUCCUCUCUUGCCGAGUUCCCAGAAAGCCAACCUUUGUGCGCUGUAAGUAUGUAUG